This is a long non-coding RNA of Oncorhynchus tshawytscha (Chinook salmon), 954 nucleotides long. The record is from Ensembl. NCBI's taxonomy places the organism in Eukaryota, Metazoa, Chordata, Actinopteri, Salmoniformes, Salmonidae.
ACCUGUUUUGUAUGACAGGCUAAAGGUUAUAACCUGUUUUGUAUGAUAGGCUAAAGGUUAUCACCUGUUUUGUAUGACAGGCUAAAGGUUAUAACCUGUUUUGUAUGACAGGCUAUAGGUUAUAACCUGUUUUGUAUGACAGGCUAAAGGUUAUAACCUGGUUUGUAUGACAGGCUAUAGGUUAUAACCUGUUUUGUAUGACAGGCUAAAGGUUAUAACCUGUUUUGUAUGACAGGCUAAAGGUUAUAACCUGUUUUGUAUGACAGGCUAUAGGUUAUAACCUGUUUUAUAUGACAGGCUAAAGGUUAUAACCUGUUAUGGAUUAUAGGCAAAAGGUUAUAACCUGUUAAGGAUUAUAGGCUAUAGGUUAUAACCUGUUAUGGAUGAUAGGCUAUAGGUUAUAACCUGUUAUGGAUUAUAGGCAAAAGGUUAUAACCUGUUGUGAAUGAUAGGCUUUAUGUUAUAACCUGUUAUGGAUUAUAAACUAUAGGUUAUAACCUGUAAUGGAUUAUUGGUUAUAACAAGAAAGGACCACACUCUUUUUACUAACAAAACUGUGAUGACUGUUGAGAAGGUGACAUAUCCAGAAAGAAGUCCUAACUAUAUGUUCUUUGAAUUCAUACUUAAAAAAUGUCCGCAUUGUUUUUUUAAAAUUGUUAACCAAAUUAGAUUUAGUGAUUGUACAAUAUUAAAAGUGUACAUUUUGUUCAUUUAAAGCGAAGAAGGGAAUAAGACAUAAUUGCGUAUCUUAUUAUUAUCUUAUUAUUAUAAAGAGUAAGAAACCUCUUCUUCUGGUCUGUUUCUAUCCACAACGUUGUAUACAAUUGCUGGUUUUGUAAUGCACUGUAGAGAAAGCAGUUCCACUGUUCAUUUUUCUUCUCUUUUUUUUAAAUAGAAAUGGUAUUUCGAUGGUGUAUUCUUUUUGUUUGAUAAAUAAAGUUUUGAUACAAAAUA